UACGGGGGGAGCAAGCGUUGUUCGGAUUCAUUGGGCAUAAAGGGUGCGUAGGUGGCGCGCUAAGUCAGGUGUGAAAUUUCGGAGCUUAACUCCGAAACUGCAUUUGAUACUGGCGUGCUUGAGGACUGGAGAGGAGACUGGAAUUCAUGGUGUAGCAGUGAAAUGCGUAGAGAUCAUGAGGAAGACCAGUGGCGAAGGCGGGUCUCUGGACAGUUCCUGACACUGAGGCACGAAGGCCAGGGGAGCGAACGGG
Molecule: ribosomal RNA, 253 nt
Filed under: uncultured bacterium
Lineage: Bacteria
Description: partial 16S ribosomal RNA
Rfam family: Bacterial small subunit ribosomal RNA
Source: RNAcentral